AGAGUUUGAUCCUGGCUCAGGACGAACGCUGACGGUGUGCUUUAGACAUGCAAGUCGAACGAGAAAGCCCUUCGGGGUGAGUAAAGUGGCGAACGGGUGAGUAACACGUGGGCAAUCUGCCCCUCGCAGGGGGACAACCGGGGGAAACCCCGGCUAAUACCCCGUAAGCUCGAAAGGCCGCAUGGCCCUUUGAGGAAAGGUAGCUUCGGCCAUCCGGCGAGGGAUGAGCCCGCGGUGCAUUAGCUUGUUGGUGGGGUAACGGCCCACCAAGGCGACGAUGCAUAGCUGGUCUGAGAGGAUGAUCAGCCGCACUGGGACUGAGACACGGCCCAGACUCCUACGGGAGGCAGCAGUGGGGAAUUUUCCGCAAUGGGCGAAAGCCUGACGGAGCAAGACCGCGUGAGGGAGGAAGGCUCUUGGGUCGUAAACCUCUUUUGUCAGGGAAGAACAAAAUGACGGUACCUGACGAAUCAGCAUCGGCUAACUCCGUGCCAGCAGCCGCGGUAAUACGGAGGAUGCAAGCGUUAUCCGGAAUUAUUGGGCGUAAAGCGUCCGCAGGUGGCUAAUCAAGUCUGCCGUCAAAGACCGUAGCUCAACUACGGAAAGGCGGUGGAAACUGAUAAGCUAGAGUGCAGUAGGGGUAGAGGGAAUUCCCAGUGUAGCGGUGAAAUGCGUAGAGAUUGGGAAGAACACCGGUGGCGAAAGCGCUCUGCUGGACUGCAACUGACACUCAUGGACGAAAGCUAGGGGAGCGAAUGGGAUUAGAUACCCCGGUAGUCC
This 780-nucleotide ribosomal RNA is filed under the name uncultured soil bacterium. Its description in RNAcentral is "bacterial SSU rRNA". It matches the Rfam family "Bacterial small subunit ribosomal RNA", at positions 8 to 796 of the family's 1533-position model. The record is from RNAcentral.